CCUACGGGUGGCAGCAGUGGGGAAUAUUGCACAAUGGGGGAAACCCUGAUGCAGCGACGCCGCGUGAGUGAAGAAGUAAUUCGUUACGUAAAGCUCUAUCAGCAGGGAAGAAACACUGACCUUACGGUCAGCAGAAGGUACCUGAGUAAGAAGCCCCGGCUAACUACGUGCCAGCAGCCGCGGUAAUACGGAGGGGGCAAGCGUUAUCCGGAUUUACUGGGGGUAAAGGGGGCGUAGACGGUGCGCCAAGUCUGGAGGGAAAUGCCGCAGCUUAACUGCGGAAGUGCUUUGGAAACUGGCGAACUAGAGUGCGGGAGGGGUAAGCGGAAUUCCUAGUGUAGCGGUGAAAUGCGUAGAUAUUAGGAAGAACACCGGUGGCGAAGGCGGCUUACUGGACCGUAACUGACGUUGAGGCUCGAAAGCGUGGGGAGCAAACAGGAUUAGAUACCCCGGUAGUC
RNAcentral lists this ribosomal RNA (458 nucleotides) under uncultured bacterium. RNAcentral's name for it is "partial 16S ribosomal RNA". It matches the Rfam family "Bacterial small subunit ribosomal RNA", at positions 338 to 795 of the family's 1533-position model. The record is from RNAcentral.